RNAcentral lists this unclassified non-coding RNA (360 nucleotides) under Hevea brasiliensis (rubber tree). The record is from RNAcentral. Lineage: Eukaryota; Viridiplantae; Streptophyta; Magnoliopsida; Malpighiales; Euphorbiaceae.
GAAACAAUAGGCAAAUUACAACGAAGCUGAUCAGUUCCAAGCCAAAAGGCAUGAGCAAUUCUCACUGCUGGCAUAUACAAAAAACAUGAAACACAGCCCAUGAAAAUUGCAAAAAACAACUUUUCAAACCCAUGUAAUGCUUCAAAAUGAACAUCAAAAACCCAUUUAGGAACUGCCCCAUGUACAAUACCAAGAGAUACAAUAAACCCAAGAAAACCCAAAAGAAUACUCAAAUGCCUCUCCGACAGCUUAGAUGCAGAUCUUUCAAACGAAACCCUAAAAAUCAAAAUGAAAAUCCUACCAACACCCAAAAACCCAAAUAGAAUCGGAACAAAAGAACCGCUCUUCCACACCCCAGAC